CCCAAUUCUAACAGCAUAAGAGAGGUAGUGACAAGAAAUAACAGUACAAGGCAGUUAAAAUGUUUUGUAAUUGGAAUGAUAGAAAUUUAAACACUUUUUAAAGUAUCAAUUGGAGGGCAAGUCUGGUGCCAGCAGCCGCGGUAAUUCCAGCUCCAAUAGCGUAUAUUAAAAUUGUUGCAGUUAAAAAGCUCGUAGUUGAAUUUUUGCUAGAAAUAACCGGUCUGCUUUUAUUAAUAAGAGUGGUACCUUGGUGUGUUUUUAGCAAUAAUGUCCUUUGAAAUGUGUUUUACUUUAUUGUAAAAGCAAUAUUCAGGAUUUUUACUUUGAGAAAAUUAGAGUGUUUCAAGCAAGCUA
This 354-nucleotide ribosomal RNA is filed under the name Eucoccidiorida sp. RNAcentral describes it as "SSU rRNA". It matches the Rfam family "Eukaryotic small subunit ribosomal RNA", at positions 444 to 787 of the family's 1831-position model. The record is from RNAcentral. Lineage: Eukaryota; Apicomplexa; Conoidasida; Eucoccidiorida.